RNAcentral lists this transfer RNA (93 nucleotides) under Aromia moschata. RNAcentral's name for it is "tRNA-OTHER". The record is from RNAcentral. Lineage: Eukaryota; Metazoa; Arthropoda; Insecta; Coleoptera; Cerambycidae.
GCGGCGAUAGCUCGGUGGGUAAAGUGCCAUGUGAGUAGAUGGCGAUUACUCCGAGAGCUAUUAUCCGCGCGGGUUCGAAUCCCGCCUGUGGCA